Small nucleolar RNA from Myxocyprinus asiaticus (Chinese sucker), 79 nucleotides. RefSeq annotates it as small nucleolar RNA SNORD72. The transcript has a single exon. The record is from RefSeq and is a predicted model, not a curated record. Lineage: Eukaryota; Metazoa; Chordata; Actinopteri; Cypriniformes; Catostomidae.
GGCUUACCAAUGAUGUCCAAAAAAUAAAUGUCUAAACAAAUGACUGUCCAGUGAAAACAAUUUAAUAUUGAGGUAAGCC